GACGAACGCUGGCGGCGUGCCUAAUACAUGCAAGUAGAACGCACAGUUUAUACCGUAGCUUGCUACACCAUAGACUGUGAGUUGCGAACGGGUGAGUAACGCGUAGGUAACCUGCCUGGUAGCGGGGGAUAACUAUUGGAAACGAUAGCUAAUACCGCAUAAUAUUAAUUAUUGCAUGAUAAUUAAUUGAAAGGUGCAAUUGCACCACUACCAGAUGGACCUGCGUUGUAUUAGCUAGUAGGUGAGGUAACGGCUCACCUAGGCGACGAUACAUAGCCGACCUGAGAGGGGGAUCGGCCACACUGGGACUGAGACACGGCCCAGACUCCUACGGGAGGCAGCAGUAGGGAAUCUUCGGCAAUGGACGAAAGUCUGACCGAGCAACGCCGCGGGAGGGAAGAAGGUUGUCGGAUCGUAAAGCUCUGUUGUAAGAGAAGAACGGGUGUGAGAGUGGAAAGUUCACACUGUGACGGUAUCUUACCAGAAAGGGACGGCUAACUACGUG
Molecule: ribosomal RNA, 505 nt
Filed under: uncultured bacterium
Lineage: Bacteria
Description: partial 16S ribosomal RNA
Rfam family: Bacterial small subunit ribosomal RNA
Source: RNAcentral